This 1920-nucleotide long non-coding RNA is filed under the name Salvia miltiorrhiza (redroot sage). RNAcentral's name for it is "long non-coding RNA (SMIL_LNC005550)". Lineage: Eukaryota; Viridiplantae; Streptophyta; Magnoliopsida; Lamiales; Lamiaceae. The record is from RNAcentral.
UUUUAAGAAAGACUGAAUUCAAAAUAUUUGAUUCGCCAUUCGACCUUCCACGUGCCUCCGACCUUUAAAACCUGAAAAUGUUAAAUAUGGGAUGAGUAUACAGGGUACACUCAGUGUGGGAAACAUGCAAUCAUUGUCCACGUUAAUAAAAUGAGAAUCACAUAUGAUCAAUACAUUCGUAACUGAAAGUCGCACUGUGGCAUACCAAGGACCUUUCCGUCCUGGACCGAUUGAGCCGGCCCCUGGCGACUGGUUGCAACCAUAACUUUAACAUGAAAUCGCAUUGUGGCAUACCAAGGACGGUGAAGUCCUGGACCCAUUGAGCGGGCCCCUAGCGAUAUAAUUUAAUGCAACUCACAUAUGGUAAACACAUGAUAUUAAAAUGGACAAGAAUUAACCACGGGCAUGUACUGAAAUAAAUCCCACACCUGAAACUUUGAACUUGAACUUCAACUUGAACUUGAAAGCUAACUUGAGUAAAUCAAUUAAAAGUAACGUCCUAGUCGCGCCGCACCUAGUCAGAUGAAUUCAAAUAAUAAUACAUAAGGGCCUAAUUGAACUUUAAAAUAAUAAUAGUAGUAGUUUAAAUCAUAAAAUCAUUUGAAAUCAUUGGUCUAAUAAAUUAUAAAAGAACUUUUAUAAAAAGAUUUGACCCCAAUAUUUAAUUAAAACUAAAUUUGAAUUAAUAAUUCAAGUCCAAAUAUAAUAUGAAUGAUGUCCUUUAUAAAAUGAUAUGCAAAUGCAAGUCCAUUUGAUAAAAUAAAUUAGUGCAAUAGCUAAUCAAAUUAUAGCCCAAUCAUUUAAUAAAUUGAACCCAUUAACUAUCAACCAUCCUAGGCCCAAGCCCAUACUUCCCUUCCCACUUAAUUUAAUCAUACCCACACAACUCCAAAACACCACUUCACGCAGCCUCCUCACUCCCACUCUCUCAACCGACCACCCCCCAUCCUUCUCCUCCUCUUCUUGGCCCCCUGCCGCUGCCACCAGACGGCACGCCGCCGCCGGAGGCCGGCGGCUCUGCCUCCUUUCUCUUCCCCCUUUUUCCUAUCUCCUUCUCACCCCUCACUUCUCGCUCUCCUCCCUCAUCUUUCUUCCUCCUCCCUUGCCACCGUCUCGGCCGCACCAGCUACGGCCGUUCCUUUCUCCGGCGGUGACCUUCGCCGCCCGCCAGCGUUACCACCCUAUCCAUGCCUCCCACCUCUCAUCUCCUUCUCGCCGACAACAGCCACGGCAAUAGCAGCAGCUGAUCGGCCCGCCACCUCCCUUUUCAGAUCCGGCGCCACCACUGCCCCUGUCUCUCUCUCUCUCCGCCCUUGCCGCCCCUCGACAGACAGCAGCAGCCGGUCAGGCUGCUUCCCCCCUUUCACCUCUCCGGCGACAACAAUCUUCACCAACAAUUCUUCCAUUCAUUUCCUUUUCUUUUCUUCUAAUUCCUUACUAUUAUUCUUUUAAUUCUUCCCUUUUCUUUUGAUUUUUCAUGUAAAAUUGUUGGAUUAGUGCAUGAGAAAUAAAAUGAUUAUGCUUGGUUGGGCUUCUGUAUAAAGUAGAUGAGAACAAGAUAUAAGAUGAUUGUUUAUUGUGAUGAAAUAAAAGAAUGAAGGUUUCAACGACAUAAAGAAAUUACCGUUUANCGUCCUGGACCGAUUGAGCCGGCCCCUGGCGACUGGUUGCAACCAUAACUUUAACAUGAAAUCGCAUUGUGGCAUACCAAGGACUUUAAUGUCCUGGACCCAUUGAGCGGGCCCCUAGCGAUAUAAUUUAAUGCAACUCACAUAUGGUAAACACAUGAUAUUAAAAUGAACAAGAUUAACCACAGCAUGUACUGAAAUAAAUCCCACACCUGAAUUUUGAACUUGAACUUGAACUUGAAAGUUAAUUCUGAUAAUUCAAAUUAAAAUCCAUGUCCUAGUCGCGCCGCAC